Molecule: long non-coding RNA, 1283 nt
Filed under: Olea europaea subsp. europaea
Lineage: Eukaryota; Viridiplantae; Streptophyta; Magnoliopsida; Lamiales; Oleaceae
Source: RNAcentral
UUUUCUUCAUGGGGCGGAUUUGGGAUGGGAGAUGCCCCAUCCUGCCCCGCUUCGAAUGGGGCAAAAAAAUCGGCCCCAAACGAAUUGACGGGACGAGUUUUUUGGCUAUCGUCACAUGAUUGUGUCCAGUCCAUUGUAGCUUAGCAGCCAUAGAUUCCUUCCAACACCUUGGACUUUUCAAACCCUGGAUUUCAGUCGGUUGAAGUAGCUUUAUUCAUAAAUGCCACGGCCUCAUCUUUCUCAUCAUCAUCUUCUCUGUGUAAGUUCUCUUUCACAGAGUCACACAGUGAAUUGGACUUUUCUGGGUGAUCACUUGCAGGUAAAAUAUUGACAGUAAAUACUUGAUUACUUCCGUUCUUAUUUGAUCAUAUCUCUAUUAUAUACGUAUUAUGAAUUAUGACUAGGAAAAUUAUAUACGUAUUAUGAAUUAUGACUAGGAAAAAUUUAUUCUUCAAUUAUUCUCAAUUAGUAUUCUGUUAAAUUCAUUUUUUUGGGUCUCUUGUAAUUCUAGCUUACCCCUCUCCGUCUCUUAACCAUACACACACUGGGAAAUUCUAAGAACUAGAUAAAGUUUAUCAUCUUUGUAUAAAUUUGACUGCAUAUUUGUAUUUUUGCAUCUGAACAUAACUAUGUUUAACUUCAAAAUUUAGCAAAGGAAUCUCUGAGAAUGUAAAAUGCAUAUUCUGCUUUAAUUUUUCCUGGGUUUUUUCUGAUUUUUGUUAAGCUCCUCUGUAUACACUAAUAUUAGCCAUCUGAUCAAAAUCGCUCUAAGCGGGUCAAAACGUAGAUCACUCCUAUAAGUAAUCUUAAUGAUUGGGUUUACAAUUCACCAGAACUUGGGGUUCAUAUGUUAUGCCUGCGUCAUAUGCCCUUAUGGAAUUUGACUUCAGUGCAAUUAACCUUUUUUCCUGCUAAAAUCUGAAUGCGUUGUGUGAUAAGCCCAUGAGUUUUUUUUGAGUGACAUAUUAAUGAUGAAUUAAAUACUGAGUAAUUCAUUCAACUUGUGAAAUCUUAUGGUAGAACAAAGUGGUUGAAUUUAUUAAGGAUUUGUUCGAUAUUGAUUUUGAGAAUUGAUUUUUUGAUCGUCAAAUAGAAAAGUGAGUCCUAUCUGUGAGAGGAGAAGUCAAAAAUAACGGUUAGAAUAAUGAAAUAACGGUCAAAAAAUUGAUUUUUUUGGGUAGAAAAAUCACUACCAAACAUGCACUAAAAUCCUCUGAUAAAUCAGAUUCGCUUCUUCAUUAACAUUGUUACUGCUUUAGUUUUUGGAACUGGUAAUUUUAACU